UGAUAUUUCCUGUCAUUAGCGGCCCCAUGU
RNAcentral lists this non-coding RNA (30 nucleotides) under Rattus norvegicus (Norway rat). The record is from RNAcentral. Lineage: Eukaryota; Metazoa; Chordata; Mammalia; Rodentia; Muridae.